UAGGGAAUCUUCGGCAAUGGACGAAAGUCUGACCGAGCAACGCCGCGUGGGUGAAGAAGGUUUUCGGAUCGUAAACUCUGUUGUUAGAGAAGAACAAGGACGUUAGUAACUGAACGUCCCCUGACGGUAUCUAACCAGAAAGCCACGGCUAACUACGUGCCAGCAGCCGCGGUAAUACGUAGGUGGCAAGCGUUGUCCGGAUUUAUUGGGCGUAAAGCGAGCGCAGGCGGUUUCUUAAGUCUGAUGUGAAAGCCCCCGGCUCAACCGGGGAGGGUCAUUGGAAACUGGGAGACUUGAGUGCAGAAGAGGAGAGUGGAAUUCCAUGUGUAGCGGUGAAAUGCGUAGAUAUAUGGAGGAACACCAGUGGCGAAGGCGGCUCUCUGGUCUGUAACUGACGCUGAGGCUCGAAAGCGUGGGGAGCAAACAGG
Molecule: ribosomal RNA, 428 nt
Filed under: Gemmatimonadota bacterium
Lineage: Bacteria; Pseudomonadati; Gemmatimonadota
Description: Gemmatimonadetes bacterium partial 16S ribosomal RNA
Rfam family: Bacterial small subunit ribosomal RNA
Source: RNAcentral